This 59-nucleotide transfer RNA is filed under the name Loxodonta africana (African savanna elephant). Lineage: Eukaryota; Metazoa; Chordata; Mammalia; Proboscidea; Elephantidae. The record is from Rfam by way of RNAcentral.
UAGCAUAGUGGUUAAGUGCUUUUGGCUGCUAACAGAAAAGUUGGUGGUUCGAACCCACC